UUACUUGAUUCUUCGGAUGAAGGUCUGGUGACUGAGUGGCGGACGGGUGAGUAACGCGUGGGUAACCUGCCUCAUACAGGGGGAUAACAGUUAGAAACGAUUGCUAAUACCGAAUAAAAUGUAAGAGUCAAUUUUACAUUGAAAGGAGCCUUUAAAGCUUUGCGAUUAGAUGGGCCUGCGGCGUAUUAACUAGUUGGUGAGGUAAUGGCUUACCAAGGUGACGAUGCGUAGCCGAACUGAGAGGUUGAUCGGCCACAUUGGGACUGAGACACGGCCCAAACUCC
RNAcentral lists this ribosomal RNA (284 nucleotides) under uncultured bacterium. RNAcentral's name for it is "partial 16S ribosomal RNA". It matches the Rfam family "Bacterial small subunit ribosomal RNA", at positions 64 to 339 of the family's 1533-position model. The record is from RNAcentral.